GAUGAACGCUGGCUACAGGCUUAACACAUGCAAGUCGAGGGGAAACGACGGGGAAGCUUGCUUCCCCGGGCGUCGACCGGCGCACGGGUGAGUAACGCGUAUCCAACCUGCCUCUGACUGAGGGAUAACCCGUCGAAAGUCGGCCUAAUACCUCAUGGUAUCGUCUGCGGGCAUCCAACGACGAUUAAAGAUUUCAUCGGUCAGGGAUGGGGAUGCGUCUGAUUAGCUUGUUGGCGGGGUAACGGCCCACCAAGGCUACGAUCAGUAGGGGUUCUGAGAGGAAGGUCCCCCACAUUGGAACUGAGACACGGUCCAAACUCCUACGGGAGGCAGCAGUGAGGAAUAUUGGUCAAUGGGCGAGAGCCUGAACCAGCCAAGUAGCGUGCAGGAAGACGGCCCUAUGGGUUGUAAACUGCUUUUAUGCGGGGAUAAAGUGAGGGACGUGUCCCUCAUUGCAGGUACCGCAUGAAUAAGGACCGGCUAAUUCCG
RNAcentral lists this ribosomal RNA (489 nucleotides) under uncultured bacterium. Its description in RNAcentral is "partial 16S ribosomal RNA". It matches the Rfam family "Bacterial small subunit ribosomal RNA", at positions 28 to 505 of the family's 1533-position model. The record is from RNAcentral.